CCUACGGGUGGCAGCAGUGAGGAAUAUUGGUCAAUGGGCGCGAGCCUGAACCAGCCAAGUAGCGUGAAGGAUGACUGCCCUACGGGUUGUAAACUUCUUUUAUAAAGGAAUAAAGUGAGGCACGUGUGCCUUUUUGUAUGUACUUUAUGAAUAAGGAUCGGCCAAAUCCGUGCCAGCAGCCGGGGUAAUACGGAGGACCCGAGCGUUAUCCGGAUUUAUUGGGUUUAAAGGGAACUGAGAUGGGUUUGUAAGUCAGUUGUGAAAGUUUGCGGCUCAACCGUAAAAUUGCAAUUGAUACUGGCAGUCUUGAGUACAGUUGAGGUAGGCGGAAUUCGUGGUGUAGCGGUGAAAUGCUUAGAUAUCACGAAGAACUCCGAUUGCGAAGGCAGCUUACUAAACUGUGACUGACAUUGAUGCUCGAAAGUGUGGGUAUCAAACAGGAUUAGAUACCCGUGUAGUC
Molecule: ribosomal RNA, 460 nt
Filed under: uncultured bacterium
Lineage: Bacteria
Description: partial 16S ribosomal RNA
Rfam family: Bacterial small subunit ribosomal RNA
Source: RNAcentral